GUCUACGACCAUUACCACCCUGAACGGGCCCAAUCUCGUGUGGUCUCAGAGGCUAAGCAGGGUCAGGCCUGGUUAGUAUUUGGAUGGCAGACA
Molecule: ribosomal RNA, 93 nt
Filed under: Castor canadensis (American beaver)
Lineage: Eukaryota; Metazoa; Chordata; Mammalia; Rodentia; Castoridae
Source: RNAcentral